UGCAGUCGAGCGAAUGGAUUAAGAGCUUGCUCUUAUGAAGUUAGCGGCGGACGGGUGAGUAACACGUGGGUAACCUGCCCAUAAGACUGGGAUAACUCCGGGAAACCGGGGCUAAUACCGGAUAACAUUUUGAACYGCAUGGUUCGAAAUUGAAAGGCGGCUUCGGCUGUCACUUAUGGAUGGACCCGCGUCGCAUUAGCUAGUUGGUGAGGUAACGGCUCACCAAGGCAACGAUGCGUAGCCGACCUGAGAGGGUGAUCGGCCACACUGGGACUGAGACACGGCCCAGACUCCUACGGGAGGCAGCAGUAGGGAAUCUUCCGCAAUGGACGAAAGUCUGACGGAGCAACGCCGCGUGAGUGAUGAAGGCUUUCGGGUCGUAAAACUCUGUUGUUAGGGAAGAACAAGUGCUAGUUGAAUAAGCUGGCACCUUGACGGUACCUAACCAGAAAGCCACGGMUAACUACGUGCCAGCAGCCGCGGYAAUACKUAGGUGGCAAGYGUUAUCCGGAAUUAUUGGGCGUAAAGCGCGCGCAGGUGGUUUCUUAAGUCUGAUGUGA
Molecule: ribosomal RNA, 560 nt
Filed under: Bacillus cereus
Lineage: Bacteria; Bacillati; Bacillota; Bacilli; Caryophanales; Bacillaceae
Description: bacterial SSU rRNA
Source: RNAcentral